This is a long non-coding RNA of Loxodonta africana (African savanna elephant), 8865 nucleotides long. RefSeq lists it as uncharacterized. The transcript has 5 exons. NCBI's taxonomy places the organism in Eukaryota, Metazoa, Chordata, Mammalia, Proboscidea, Elephantidae. The record is from RefSeq and is a predicted model, not a curated record.
GCUCCGCGGGGCGCCGCGAGUGGUUAAGCGAGCUACAAGGGGAGGGUCUUCCAAAUGUUGCCAGCUGGAAUUUGGGUGCCCCGUGGGAAUCCGGGAGAACCCCACUUCGGACCCAAAAUCCGUCCGCCCCGGGUCGCGCUCGUCUCUGUCUCGAUGAUUUUGUCUUACUCGUACUUCUUUCUCUUCCUUUCUCAGGGAUCCCUUUGGUCCCCUGCUGCCUGUGCUCGCUCUGAAAGCCGGAUUUCCGGGAUGCUCAGUUCGGAGGGGAGAAUUGUGCCGGGAAUUAAAUCCGUCCUUCUCUUAGGCAGUGGCUGAUUGAAAAAAAAAAAAAGGAGGGGCUAAAAAUACACUUGGUGCAGUGACAAGGAACAUUAUUGUUGUUAAAGUCGUCGGCGCUAAUGUUUUCAGGGAGAUAACGUCCUCCAAGCCUAGAACUUCUGAAUGGCUUCCGAGCUUGAAGUUUUGUUACAGCAAAUGAAGAGAGGCAUGGGACGAGGUCUGGCAGAGUUCCCAAAGCAAAUCUUCUGUGUCCCAAAAAGGGAUGUGCUACUGAAUCGGCUUGAUGGCACCCAGCAGCAACGACCUUCGCACGUGCAUUGAUGUCUUCACUAACGAGGAAGCCUGAGGAACUUCCAUAUCCUUUACUGGUGUAAGAGGACAGAAAUAGGAGGUGUACACGGGAUACCUGGAAACCUUGAAUAUCAAGGCAUGCAGCCUGGGGUCAAGAUUUGCCAGAUCUGACCUUACCAGCAUAGAUGGACAAGUCAAAACACAAAGCAAAGAGGCUAUUCUUUCCAGAGUCUACCCUAAAGCCUUAAACUUGCCAUCUGAGCUUACCAGAACUGCCACUCUGCCUUGCCAUCACCUUGAUCUACGUCAAGCAUAUCACUCAUCACUGUGUGAGGAAUUGUUUGGUGGAAAGCAAAAAAUGGAAGAUGGGAAGCCCAGGUAGAUGGUGUGGUGGAGAUGGAGACAAGUGGACCAAAAGAAAUCACUAAAUAACUGAAUGUCAAAGCUAAGGUCAAUUGGUUUAACUUCCUGCCCAUUUCAGCUCUUCGGCAACUGAGCUAGGUGACUGUCUGAUUUUAUCUUUGUACCCUUAGGACUCCCACCCCCACCUCAACCCACAUGCCAUUCUGGCAAGAAAGCAGCCUUUGGCAAAGAAUUUAAUGAAGCCCUUGAAGAGUAAUUUCAAAGUUUCUUCCUGGUCUUUGUGUAGUAACCAAAUUAAUAGAGAAAAUCGAGAAUAUGGAUUAUUCUACAAGGUAAAACUGACUUGGUCUUGUAAAAAAAAAAAAGUCAAUGGCAUUAAAAGAAAAAAAAAAAAGAGACUUGUUUGGUUAUCUAUUGCUGCGUAACAAACUAUCCUCAACUUCAGGCUGUAAUAAAACAACCACUUCAUUGGGCUCAUGGAUUCUGUGAGUCACGAAUUUGGACAGGGCAUGGGAGGAUGGCUUGCCUCUGCCUCACAGUGCCUGAGACCUCAGCUGAGAAGACUUGAAUGGCUGGAGACUGAAAUAGCUGGAGCAGAGGAUACACUUCUAAGAUGGCUUCUUCAUUCAGCAUGUCUGACACCCGGCCUGGGAGGACUGCAAGGCUGGAAUCAGCUGCAGUUGUCAAUCAGAGAUCUACACGUGGCCUCUCCAUGUGGCUUGGGCUUCUCACAGGUUCUUUGAGGAGCAUCCUGAGAGCAAGCAUUACAAGAGAACCAAACUGCAUGGCUUUUUCAGCCCUAGCUUCAGAACUCACACAAGGUAACUUCACCGCAUUUUAUUGAUUACAAGUGUCAAACCAACUUAGAGUCAAGGGGAGGAAAAUUAGACUCCACCUUUUCCUGGAGGAGCUGCAAGGCCUCCUUGUAGAGGAACAAAUGGGUAGGAGGAUAUAGUUGUGGCCAUCUUCCGGAAAUACAAUCCACCAUAGACGGGUCUAGAUUAAAAGAGAUUAAAGAAGCAGAACAGCCAAUGCAGUGCAUGGAUCUUGAUUAGAUUCUGGUUAUGGGGGAAGAAAAGAAUAAUAAAAGGCAGUUACAGAUAAUCGGAAAAAUAUGGUAUAGAUCUUAGGUGAUAAUAAAGAAUUAGUAAUUUUCUUGGGUGAGAAAAUGGUAUGUGGUAAUAUAGUGGAUGUCCCUAUUCUUAGGAGAUGCCAGCUAAAGAAUUUAUGGGUUAAGUGUUAUAAUGUCAACAGUUUAUUUUCAGUCAGUCAGUAAAUAUGGAAAAAUACUUAAUCUAGGUGGUGGUUCAUUUUUUAACUUUUUUGUACAUAGUUUCAUAAUAAAACGUUUAGGGAGUAAGAGGAUUAUUUGGCUAAGCAAUAGGCCUGUGGGCUCAGAGACUUUCCACGUUGGUGGAGGAAGGGAAGGAAGAUAAAGAAAAGCAAACAUGCUGCUGAAUAAUGUCAAGCAGUAAUUCCAGUGACAGAGGCAUCCCUGAAGAUUAUGAAACAGGUUGGAAAAUAUUUUUCUUACCACAUAUCAGCUCGGACUAUUCUUGUUUCUAAGAAAGAAUGUUCAUCCUUAGGAGGGUGACCUUCUGGAUUCACCUUGUGCCUUACCAGGUGCUGAAGACACAAAAGAGGGUAAAAAGACUGCUUCACACAAGGUCAAGAAAAAAAAGCUACAACUACUUACAAAGCUACAACUGCUUCAAGGCACAAGAGUGUGAGAACAGCCAGUCGGUUUCAGCCAUAACCAUAGACUGAGCCAAAAGCAGCCAGACCAGGCCCAGCAGACCCUAUAGAACCACAGCACUGCAAGAUAAGACCAGUGGAUUCCUGGCUGUGAGAAAUGGCCAACCACAUUGAGUCUGACUCAGAUACCAAUGUGGCAUGGAAGGUAGAUGGAUGAUGAUUAAUGUAAAAUCAACAAGAAGUGAGAAGCCCUUCAAAAAAAUAAAAUGGAAUUAGGCACCGUUUGUGGAAACAAAUCAUGUUUCACUAGCACUUGAGAGGGCCCCUCAAAAUGAGGGAGAAUCAUAGAGGUUCAGCAUCUUUGUUGCAGAGCAAGUCUUAGGUCCCUCUCACACCCACCUGAGGAAAGAAUGUGCACGCAGCCUACAAGGGUGGAAAGAGCCUUGGUAGAACAGCAUUCCCCACUCAGGAGUGAAGUCAUCAGGACAGCAAUGCCCAUGUAUAUUCUAGUCGGCUUUUUUUUUUUUUAAAGGCAGUGAGAAGGAAAGAGGGGAGAAAGGGAAGAUGCUAGGGAAGGCUGGGGCCUUCCUCAGUCGUGGUGCGUAAUUGAGCUGCUGAGGUCACUUGAGAGUAAUUCAGGUUAGAAGUUGAAGGCCCCUGGGCUUCGUUGGCUCCCUGAUCCUCUGCCUACCUUGUGGUGAGUUGUAACAAACAUUAGAACCAAAUUAGGCAGAGAAGCACAAUAGGCCCAGCAACCAAGAGAGGAGGAUUAUGUGGCCAAAUUAAGCAGAGGCCUCACUUAAUACUCAGCUCUGGUCUGACUGCCCAGCUUCCCCGCUCUCACCCUCCCCAUCAAAACAGCCCUCCCCUUUAAAGCCCAGAAUGGACUUCUCACUCAAAGGUACCCUUCCGUCUCAGGCAGAAGUGGUUGGCGUUUGUAUAUUUGUGGGUUACAAAGAGAGCCUCAAAAAUUAUUUUUGUGCCUCCCCAAAAGAAUUUUGAAAAAACUAUGUACUCUCUCAUAAAGUGUAUAUUAACAUUCAGACUUUUUAUCAUGAGUUGAAAUAUCUGGUAAGGAAGUAAUUUCUGAUUAUUUUAAAUACUGGUAAUUUACAAUAAAACUGUUACAUCAACCUUUAAAAAAAAAAGUUUCAGUCUGACAUAUUUUUGUCCAGAUAAAUUCCAGCCCACUUUGCUGUGGAAUUGGACUCGAGAGGUGCUACCAGACUGGGUUAUAAUUUGGCCUGUAUUUAUCUCACAAACCUUUGAAUCUGAGCAAGUAUUUGAAUAAGCAUUUAGUUGUAAGGGAGCGUUUGCCAUCCCAUGUAAAUGAGAUGAUUUGUUAUGCUCAUUUUUAAUGGCUGAUUUUACCAGCUAUUGACCUGAACCAUGAAGAGAAGUGUAGGUAUAGCUCUUGUGCAGUAUGAGUACCUGCAGAUGUGUUUGCUGCAGAAAAAUACACCCCCAAGCAGUGAAGUGACUGAACCUACUGGAUGUGGUCGUUCAGUGUUACUUAAGAAUCAGAUGUCCAGUGUCACAUAGCAUAUUUGAGAACUUGCCCUCACAGUAUAUUUUGCUAGAGAAAAACACGUGAUACAUAUACAUUUGCUGAAAUUCAAAAUGCUUGUGGCAUAACAGUGAAAACAGUCUCUCCCGUAUCAACUUUUUUUUGAGUCUGUUCGUACAUUUUUACUAAAUUUAAAACAAGUUCCUCCGUCUUUGAAAAGAUGGAUAGGGAACGGAUAGGAAUCAUUGCCUCUGAGAAGAACAGCUGGUAGCUGGGGACAAGUGUGGGAGGGAAACUUGUAUAUCCUUUUGUAUCUAUUGAAUUUUAAGUCAUGUGAAUGCAUUACAUAUUCAAAUGUAACCUGCAGUUUUAAAAAUGAGAGUUAACUAGUUAAUUAUAUAAUAACUUUUUGAAGAAGACUUUGCUUACAAGAAUUGUAAUAAAAUGUGUUUGGUUUUCAAUCAGUGAAAAACUUCUCUGUUUCCUGAAGAUUUAUCUAAUAUAUCCAAUAACCAUACACUGUAGUAAUAAUGUAAUAGUGACAAGAAACUUACUAUCAAAAAGGUAUAAUGAAGCAAGUUAGCAAGAAGGAGCACAAACAAGAAACCAAGAGUCAGAGAUUACAUUUUUCUCCCAACUUUUCGUUUCGUAAAAUUUUAAACCUUCAGAAAAUUUGAAAGAUUAGUGCAAUAAAUACCCAUAGUAGUACUCUUCAUCUAGAUUUACCAAUUAUAAAAUGUGUUACAAAUGCCACAUAUGCUUUAAUAUUGUAAUCUGUUUUGGCCUUCCACAUGCCUGAAAGGCUGGAAUGCUGUCUGGAACUUUGAUCUUGUUAACAACUUCAUCAGAAUGUGGUACCAGGACUUUGCUCUGUGAAAGCCCGUGACAUUAUUCUCUCAGCAUAAGCUGCUGGUAUGGUAAUCCUCAAAGAUAUUGCAGGUGGUUCCCACUUUUACAACUUGCAUCUGGGCUUUUUUAUGGUAUAUGAAAACCACGAGAACUCAGCAUUAACUGGACUAAUCAUUAACUCUCAUUAGGUGUGUUUUGGGAGGUGCUGUGGAACUGGAGUAAGGGAAGGGAAGAAUUAGAGCUCGUAGGAGGAAGCAAAGCGGUGAACCAGUCCUAGGGAAUGAUGAGGGGAGAGCUAAUGGAGUUAAAUAGGCACAUGAUGUCCUUCCACAGUCUGGAGGAUUUAGAGAAGAAAUUCACAUUAUAGUGGGAUAUAUACAUAACAUCUCAAGACCAGGUGGGGAAAAGGGAGGAAGCUGAAGGGAAAAAAAGAAGCAGUAUGUUAAGUAAAUAGAUUCAGGGUUCAACUGCCAAGCGUAUACCAAAACCAAACCCACUGCCGUCUAGUUGAUUCCCACUCGUGACCCUAUAGGAAAGGAUACUUCCCCAUAGGGUUUCCAAGGAGCAGCUCGUGGAUUUGAACUGCCCAUCUUUUGGUUAGCAGCCAAGCUCUUAACCACCAUGCCACCAGGGCUCCAUAGAGGGGACUAGGACACUAAAAUGAGAUUACUAUUAGAAUAUCCAAGUUAAGAACAUGUUAUAAGGCUAAUAGAACAACUUUAAAGUAAAAGGAGAUGAUACUGACUUUGUGGUUUCAUCUCUUUCUUUUUGCAUGUAAAAGAGGUAGAGUAUAAACUGGAGAACAGAUAUUUCUGUCUACAUGCUUUGCCCAACAAAGUCUCUGAAAAACACGAGAUACUUAAGAGAGGGAAAUGUUUCCACUGGAUGGAGGGAAAGAAUAACUGUUCAGGACCAUUCUGGUCCUGGGGAAUCCUUAAAUAGGAAUAUACCCCAAUAGGCCAGGUCCCUUUUUACAUACACAAAGGAGCUACUCUUAUUCAGGAGCCAAGAGACAAUACCAGAGCUUCUCUCAGUUCUCCCUAACCUGGGUCCCAGAAAGGGCCCAAGAAUAUACCAUUUUUUCUUGAAAACAUUCUUCACACUUGAUCUGUUGAUUUUUACUUGUUAAAUGUAAUCCAUCAAAAGAUGUUUCUAUUUUAUAAAUCAUUUAAGUAUAAAAUUGAAUUUAAUUGUUUUAAUAAUAGCAUAUGCAACACCAAAUUAUAGCUGUAUUCAUCGAUUUCUUAAGAGCGUUUAUAGCUUAAGAUUUUUACAAUAUUUAAUGUUUUAACUUCCAUUGCAGUGUUAUUUAUUUUUGAAUUUUCUUCUCCUCUUAAUCCCACUAUUUAACUUUUUGUUCUCAGUUACUAAGAAUAAUAACCUAAACCUCAAAAUUGGAAACCAUCUCUUCACAUAGUUGCAGUUAAUUAUUCAUCAUGCCUGAAUAUCUUGCAUUUGACUGAACAUGCCCAGUUCUUUUAACAAUUUCUCCUAGGUCUAAUUUCACGAACCUUUAAUCAGUUGCUCUUCUCCUCUGAACACUCUCCAAUUUUUUUUUCUCUUUAUACAGCAUGGCAUGUAAAAUUAAAUGUAGUUUGUUCCAGCUGAAGCCUGCCCAGUGCCAAAUAAAGCAAAAUAAUUGCUUCCCUUCAUUUUCACACGUAUGUCUUAAUACAGUCCAAUAGAGUUGCUGUCUCAUAUUUCAACACAGAGAGGACUCAUCCAACCUAACACCACCCAUAAAUGUUGGAUCUCACUUGGCUUUAUCUGGGGCUCUCUUAAGCUUUUAUUUCUACGUGUUUGUUGCAAUUCAGUGGCAUAUUAAAAGCUAAAUGUUAAAUCCAUAAAAAGGUUUCCUCCACACAUUUUUCUGUCAGAGAUUGUCCCGUUAACAAUUGGUAUAAAUGUGGAUUUAGGGCUUGAGGGUCUCAAAAACUAAGGUUUGAGUGAUUCAGAGUAUUUUUGUGAUGGAAACUGGAAAGAAAGAUUCAGAUGGAGAGAUACCAGGAGAGAUUGCCAAAGACUGGAAGCAGCAGGCUGCCUUUGUUUUCUUCCUGCCUGGUCCUGAAACCCAUCUUCCCAGUGGCCCUCCCUGUCCAGCCCUUCUUCCCAACCAUCUGGGCCUCCCAGUAGGCUAUUUAUUAUAGAAAUUGUAUUCAUUUGCUUUAUAAUGAAAAUAAAUUUAUAAAAGUAUAUUGAUAAGCAUUUUUAUACCAGCACAUGAAGAUCCAACUUGCUUUGGGGGAAACAUGGUAGUCUUCAUAUAACGACUGGAUGGCUUGUGUGUACUUUGAUUUUUGUAACUUGUAAUCUUUUGUUUACCAUGAGGGGUUUUGUGUAACGUGUUUUAAUUUAGAAUUCUUUGGUAGCAAUAGAAACUUUGGGCGCAUUUUUGUAUGGUACAUGUGACAUAUAUAGAAUUAGUACUUUAUUUUUAAAAGCUAAAGCAUUAUGGUAAGAGGAAAGUAGGGUGAGUUUCCAAAAUACCUUUUUAAUAUUAAAAAAUAAAAUUAAAGAUUUGAGAAAAAAAAUAGAAAGAUCUUUGAUUGUAAGCAAUGGAACCCAAUUUCAGCAAAGAGAAUUUAUUGGGAAGAUACCAGGAUUUUGAGAAGGCUGAAGAACCAUGUGUAGAAACUGGCAAACACCAAGGAAGUUCCAGAGAAGAAGAAGAUUAGCAUCCACUCGUCAGGAGUGUUCUUUGGUCCUUCCCUAGUCAUUUCAGAGUUAAACUCUGGCACUGGGUGUUACGCAUUGUGGGGAAUACCAAAACCUGUAAGACGCAACCACUGUCCUUCAGGACAUUGUCGCCUAGGAAGGAACCAAACCAAAAACAAAACACAUUGCCGUCAAGUCAAUUCCGACUCACAGCGACCCUAUAGGACAGAGUAGAACUGCCCCAUAGAGUUUUCAAGGAGCAGCUGGCAGAUUCAAACUGCCGACCCUUUGGUUAGCAGCCGUAGCACUUAACCACUAUGCCACCAGGGUUUCCGCAGGAGGGAAAGAGAUACACAAAUAAUGAAACAUAAAACCAGGUGGCUGCCAGAAAAGUGAAAUGUAUUGAAAGUUGAUUUCCCAAUUAUCCUCUCAUUCACACUCUUUACUCAGAUUCAUGAUAUUUCCAGUUUGGUAAGUGGCAAAAUAAAAAGGACCUGUAACUUUAGAAACACCCUGGGGUUUACAAAAGUGCCCUUAGUAUUUAUGUUUUACUCUUACUCCAGAAAAUUCUUGCUUUCAGAGGAUAACGUAUCUACAUAAUUUUCUUGGACACCCUAUAACACUCAAAAGCCAGCUAGUUGUCUUAACUUUGUUUAGUAAUGGCUUUGAAUGCGUGGAUAUUGUAUUUGGAAUGAAGCACUUGAAUUCACUCAUUCAUUCAGGAAAUACUUACCGAGUACCUAUGUGCCAGGCGGUAUGGGGGUAAACUGCCCCUGUCCUCGUCGAACAGUCAACAAAUUAACAAACAUCUAAUUCAUGCUUUGAGCUCAUUUCCCCAAAAAUGACAUCCUGACUUCAUUAAGUGAGAUUCUAAUUUGAGGAACUGCUACUUUAAAAAAAAAAAAAACUUUCAAUAGCACAGAUCAUUUGAGAGGAAGAGGAAUCAGUGAUGUAUUUUCUCUUUAACCAUUAAUCUGUAAAAGGGAGACAGGGAAUUAUGAGGAUAAAGAUAAAAGGUGCUACAGACUUCUUGCCGGAUUUCAGAUUGAGUCUCUCGUUCUAACUGAUGCCAUUUACGCUCCUUAUUUAUAGAUCUGUCCCUAGACCUUCCCCAGCAUGUUACACUUUAGGACUAUAGACUGAGCUACAUUUGAAUGUAUUUUAUGGCAUUUGGAAGCCCUCCAGUGGCCAAAUACUAUACCUGAAAAAAAAAAAAAAACCCUUUU